This 468-nucleotide ribosomal RNA is filed under the name uncultured bacterium. RNAcentral's name for it is "partial 16S ribosomal RNA". It matches the Rfam family "Bacterial small subunit ribosomal RNA", at positions 28 to 507 of the family's 1533-position model. The record is from RNAcentral.
GACGAACGCUGGCGGCGUGCUUAACACAUGCAAGUCGAACGGAAAGGCCCUGCUUUUGUGGGGUGCUCGAGUGGCGAACGGGUGAGUAACACGUGAGUAACCUGCCCUUGACUUUGGGAUAACUUCAGGAAACUGGGGCUAAUACCGGAUAGGAGCUCCUGCUGCAUGGUGGGGGUUGGAAAGUUUCGGCGGUUGGGGAUGGACUCGCGGCUUAUCAGCUUGUUGGUGGGGUAGUGGCUUACCAAGGCUUUGACGGGUAGCCGGCCUGAGAGGGUGACCGGCCACAUUGGGACUGAGAUACGGCCCAGACUCCUACGGGAGGCAGCAGUGGGGAAUAUUGCACAAUGGGAGGAAGCCUGAUGCGGCAACGCCGCGUGCGGGAUGACGGCCUUCGGGUUGUAAACCGCUUUCGCCUGUGACGAAGCGUGAGUGACGGUAAUGGGUAAAGAAGCACCGGCUAACUACGUG